RNAcentral lists this ribosomal RNA (443 nucleotides) under uncultured Anaerolineaceae bacterium. RNAcentral's name for it is "bacterial SSU rRNA". It matches the Rfam family "Bacterial small subunit ribosomal RNA", at positions 925 to 1382 of the family's 1533-position model. The record is from RNAcentral. Lineage: Bacteria; Bacillati; Chloroflexota; Anaerolineae; Anaerolineales; Anaerolineaceae.
ACAAGCAGCGGAGCGUGUGGUUUAAUUCGUUGCUACACGAAGAACCUUACCUGGGUUUGACAUUAUAGGUUGUAGGGAACUGAAAGGGACCGACCCUUCGGGGAGCCUAUUACAGGUGUUGCAUGGCUGUCGUCAGCUCGUGUCGUGAGAUGUUCGGUUAAGUCCGCUAACGAGCGCAACCCUCGUCGUAUGUUAUAUGUGUCAUACGAGACUGCCGGUAAAAGCCGGAGGAAGGUGAGGAUGAUGUCAAGUCAGCAUGACCUUUAUAUCCAGGGCUACACACACGCUACAAUGGUCUGUACAAUGGGUAGCCAAGCCGCGAGGCGGAGCCAAUCCUGAAAGCAGGCCUCAGUUCAGAUUGCAGUCUGCAACUCGACUGCAUGAAGUCGGAAUCGCUAGUAAUCGCAGGUCAGCGUACUGCGGUGAAUACGUUCCCGGGCCUU